GGUUCAGGAUGAACGCUGGCGGCGUGCUUAACACAUGCAAGUCGAACGAAGCACUGAAGAAUGGAGAUUCGUCAAAGUUCUCUUUGACUGAGUGGCGAACGGGUGAGUAAUGCGUGAGCAACCUGCCCUUCAGAGGGGGACAACAGUUGGAAACGACUGCUAAUACCGCAUGACGUGUUCGGGAGGCAUCUCUUGGAUACCAAAGGAGAAAUCCGCUGAAGGAUGGGCUCACGUCUGAUUAGCUAGUUGGCGGGCAACGGCCCACCAAGGCGACGAUCAGUAGCCGGACUGAGAGGUUGAACGGCCACAUUGGGACUGAGAUACGGCCCAGACUCCUACGGGAGGCAGCAGUGGGGAAUAUUGGGCAAAUGGGCGAAAGCCUGACCCAGCAACGCCGCGUGAAGGAAGAAGGCCUUCGGGUUGUAAACUUCUUUUAACAGGGACGAAGAAGUGACGGUACCUGUUGAAUAAGCCACGGCUAACUACGUGCCAGCCGCGGC
Molecule: ribosomal RNA, 500 nt
Filed under: uncultured bacterium
Lineage: Bacteria
Description: bacterial SSU rRNA
Rfam family: Bacterial small subunit ribosomal RNA
Source: RNAcentral